Chlorocebus sabaeus (green monkey) is the source of this 109-nucleotide small nuclear RNA. Lineage: Eukaryota; Metazoa; Chordata; Mammalia; Primates; Cercopithecidae. The record is from Ensembl.
GUACUUACUUCAGCAGCACAUACCCUAAAAAACGGAAUGAUACAGAGAAGACUGGCAAUGGGCCCUGCACAAGGAUAACAUGCAAAUUCAUGAAAUCUUCUAUAUUAUU